AUUGCCUCUUGGCCUUUUGGCUAAGAUCAAAUUUAAUAUCUGAUUUAUCAGUUUAAUAUCUGACACAUCCUCUUAUCAGAGGACAAUAUUUAUUAAAUGGAUUUUUGCAGCAGGGAGAUAAAAUGGGAACUUAUUUAGUCCACUCCAUGCAUCAACCUGGCAUUGCAGUACCUCCAGGAAUGGUGCUCCAAUU
This is a small nuclear RNA of Pongo abelii (Sumatran orangutan), 193 nucleotides long. Its record names the gene U2. It matches the Rfam family "U2 spliceosomal RNA". Rfam says of the family: U2 is a small nuclear RNA (snRNA) component of the spliceosome (involved in pre-mRNA splicing). Complementary binding between U2 snRNA (in an area lying towards the 5' end but 3' to hairpin I) and the branchpoint sequence (BPS) of the intron results the bulging out of an unpaired adenosine, on the BPS, which initiates a nucleophilic attack at the intronic 5' splice site, thus starting the first of two transesterification reactions that mediate splicing. Lineage: Eukaryota; Metazoa; Chordata; Mammalia; Primates; Hominidae. The record is from Ensembl.